This is a ribosomal RNA of 3158 nucleotides. The stretch from base 628 to 3158 matches the Rfam family "Bacterial large subunit ribosomal RNA".
UAUAUAUAAACUAUAUUAGUUAAAUAAAUUUAAUUUAACAGUACUAAGUUAAACUUGACCAAUUCUUAAAAAGGCUCUUUGAAAUAAUGAUAAUCAACGAUGGAAUAUUAGUUAUUCCUACAAUUAUGUCAUUCGCUAAAUAAAGCGCUGUUUUUAGGUAAGACCGGUAUCAUUUUUUGAUAUUUAUAGAAGUCCAAGUCUUGUAAAAGCAAGCAGUCCGUCAUUGCUGUUUGGUCAGCAGUAAUUGAUUGUUGUUUAGUUUAUUUUGGAGGUUUAGAAUGAUAUCAACAUUUUAUAAAACAUCACAAUUUUUAUAAAUCUACUAUUAGCAAUGUACUAUUCUUUAAUAAACGUUUAAGAAAUUGACCAAUUCUUAAAAAGCUUUUAGUAAAUGAUAUCAACAUUUUAUAAAACAUCACAAUUUUUAUAAAUCUACUAUUAGCAAUGUACUAUUUUCUAAUAUCUAGUAUUAGUUAUGUACUAUUACCUAAUAUCUACUAUUAGCAAUGUACUAUUCUUUAAUAAACGUUUAAGAAAUUGACCAAUUCUUAAAAAGCCUUUAGUAAAUGAUAUCAACUAAAUCAACGGAAGAUUAGUUAUUCCUAGAGUUAUGACGUUCGUUAAAUAAAGUGCUGUUUUUUGAGUAUCAGAAGAAAAUCUAGCUAUAAAAAAGUAAAGGCGUAGAGUUUUACGAAAAGCUCUAUUGAGGUAUGAUAAAUGGUCUGCAAUGUAGAGGUUUCUUAAUGGAAAACCAUUCUUUUUUGAAUUUAUAUAUGACCUUGCGAAUUGAAACAUCUUAUUAGCUUGUGGAAUAAAAAUCAACCGAGAUUUUGUAAGUAAUGGCGAGUGAAAGCAAAAAAAAGUAACUUUUUUAUUGAAAAUUAAAAAAUUUGGAAAAAUUUAUCAAAGAAGGUGAUAGUCCUGUAAAAUUUCAAAUAUUGUUUUUAGUAAAGAAAAUUUUUCUUGAAUAUUGGGGUUUCAUCCUCGAACUUUAAAUAUCUUUUAUAUGCGAUAGCAUAAAAGUACUGUGAAGGAAAGAUGAAAAGAAUCCUUAAAACGGAAGUGAAAAGAUCUUAAAUUCUGAUACUUACAACUAAUCAUACUCUUGUUUAUUAAACGAUAAUCUGGUGUGCCUUUUGUAUCAUGCAUUAGCGACUUUAUAAUUGCAGCAAGCUUAAUUUGUUAAAUGUAAGCAAAGUAAAAACAAGUUUUUGAUAAGCGUAGUUUAUCAGUUGCUAUUAUAAGACUCGAAUCCAAGUGAUCUUACCAUGAACAAGCUGAAAACAUAAUAACUUAUGUAGGAAGGCUGCACUCAUAGCUGUUGCAAAAGCUUGAGAAGAUUUGUGGUUAGGGGUGAAAGGCCAAUCAAACUUGGUGAUAGCUAGUUUUUUGCGAAAAAUAUUUAGGUAUUGCGUGAUAUUUAAUUUUGAUAAUAGGUAGAGCUCUUUUUAGAUUAAGGAAGCUAAGACUUUACUGACUCUCGAAAAACUUCAAAUGGUUAUUAACAACAUAUUGCAGUCAGAUUACGGGUGCUAAGGUCCGCAAUCAAAAGGGAAACAGCCCAGCUUAUUGGUUAAGGUCCAAAAAUAACAAGCUUAGUGAUAAAGAUGGUAAAAUUGUUAAGAUAAUUAGAAGGUAGGCUUGGAAGCAGCCAUUCUUUUUAAAAUGCGUAACAGCAUACUAAUUGAAAACGAAAGUUUGAAGUUUUUUGCAUCGAAAAUUUAAAUGGACUAAAGCUCUUUACCGAAACUAUAAAUUUUCAGUUUGAGGAAGAUGGUAGCAAAACGUUUUUAAAUCAAUAAAAGUUCAUUGUUAAAUGAGUUGAAGAUAAAAAAGUGAGAAUGCUAAUAUGAGUAACAUUAAACAAUGUAAUAUACAUUGUCGCCGUAAAAUCAAGGUUUUCUACGUAAAGUUUAGCUUCGUAGAGUUGGGCGGUCUCUAAAAAAUUUUGUGAUAACAUUAUUUGAUGAGAAGAAUAAAUUAGUCUAGACAUUAAGUGACAAGUAAACCCCUUUUUUGAAAAAAAGUGGAUUUUUUUAAAAAUUGUUUUGCUUCAAGAAAAAGCUUCUGUCAAUUUUAUAAAAAAUACCCGUACUUAACCGACAAAGGAGAUUUUUUAGGCGUUGAGACAAUUAUUUUUAAGGAACUCGGCAAAAUAAUUCUGUAACUUAGGAAGAAAGAAUACCUUAACAAAAAGGUGAAACAGAUCAGGGGAUAGCGACUGUUUAAUAAAAACAAAAGACUUUGCUAAAUAGUAAUAUGAUGUAUAAGGUCUUAUGCCUGCCCAGUGUUGUAAUGUCAAACUUUUGGUGUUCACGUAUCGUUGUUAAACUUCAAUAAACGGCAGUCGUAACUCUAACGAUUCAAAGGUAGCGAAAUUCCUAGUCAUUUAAUUGGUGACCUGCAUGAAAGGCAUAACGACUUUCCCACUGUCUUGAAAAUGAACUCAGUGAAAUUAGAAUCUGCGUGAAGAUACGCAGUAACAUAAGUUAGACGGAAAGACCCCAUAAACCUUUACUAUAAAUUUGUAUUGUUAUGAUUUGUUUUUUGUGUAGUAUAUGUGGUAACUCUUUAUAAAAGUGAUAUGAAAUACCACUCUAAAAAUAAAAUCUAACUAAUUUGUUGACAAAAAAAAUGCAAAUGGUUUAGUUUGGCUGGGGCGGCAAUCUCCAAAAAAGUAACGGAGAUCUGCAAUGGUAGGCUCAAAUUUAGUAGAAAUGAAUUUUUGAGUACAAUGGCAUAAAGCCUGCUUGACUGUAAGAUAAACAAAUCAAACAGGGACGAAAGUCGGUCAUAGUGAUCCGAAAAUUUUAAAUGGAAAAUUUUUCGCUCAAGGAAUAAAAGGUACUUUGGGGAUAACAGGCUAAUGACUCUUAAGAGCUCAUAUCGACAGAGUCGUUUGGCACCUCGAUGUCGACUCUUCGCAUCCUGGAGCUGUAGAAGGUUUCAAGGGUAUGGCUGUUCGCCAUUUAAAGCGGAACGUGAGUUGGGUUUAGAACGUUGUAAAACAGUUUGGUCCCUAUCUGCUUUAGUUGUAAAAGAAAUGAAAAGAUUUGUUUUUAGUACGAGAGGACCAAAACAACAUAACCACUUAUGUACCAGUUUUACCAAAAAGUCGGGUAGUUACGUUAUUUUAAUAUAAUCACUGAAAACAUCAA